AGGAAGGGCCUGCAAGGUGCUUUCAUUCAGCCCUGCGUGUUUUCUCACUCAGCAAACACUGUGUUUGGGCUCUGGGGGCAGGACAGAGAGCCAGUAGGUCAUGGGUUCUGCCUUCUCCUGUCCAGCCCUGAUGCCUGCCAGCUGUGGGGUUCAGGCAGCCACUCUACGGCACUGUGAUGGGAAAAAGGAGGUACAAGCUGCUCAUGUAUUAGCAGAAGCUACCAAGCCCCCCCAACACACCAGAGACACGGGAGAUGCGACCACUCCCUGGGCCCGCCAGUCAGCAGUGCGCAAGACGCAUCCGCCAGAUGGCACCGCGUCAGAAAAGAGCAGAUGUAAUGCGGGCUUCUGAGAGGGGAAGCAGUUUCUCUUGGGAGGAAAAGAAGGUGCUGGGCACAGGUACAGAAGGACAAGAUCAGAAGUCACCUCUCCACCUGUCCCGAGCCGGAUGCACAGCUGUCCCCUCUCCCCCUUCCCUUCACUUGUUCACCUUAUCUUACAUAAAAUGUACAUUUACUCAAAGUCUCACAAGAAUGUCAGCAUCUGCCUCACUGCCUACCCCUCCCGCCUUCCCUCUCCUUAAGUACUCCCUUCCCCUUAAAUACUGAGUUCCCAAAACCUUCUUUGGAACGCGCAGGUCACAGAUGCUCCUGGGACGUGUGUUUUCCUUAGGCGUGUCCUCACACUUUGGCUUGUGAGCCUCUACUGAUUGAGACCCCUGCCCCCAUCACUUUUUGGCUAAACGAGGACUCAGCUUCAGCACACGGAGGUGGGAGGAGUCCACACAGGUGUGUUAUCCCAUUAGCCGCAGAGUCCUGCUCUUACCCCACCCCUGGAAGGGAAGAUUAGGCUGGA
Molecule: long non-coding RNA, 855 nt
Filed under: Homo sapiens (human)
Lineage: Eukaryota; Metazoa; Chordata; Mammalia; Primates; Hominidae
Source: RNAcentral